RNAcentral lists this ribosomal RNA (530 nucleotides) under uncultured delta proteobacterium. RNAcentral describes it as "bacterial SSU rRNA". It matches the Rfam family "Bacterial small subunit ribosomal RNA", at positions 365 to 887 of the family's 1533-position model. The record is from RNAcentral. Lineage: Bacteria; Deltaproteobacteria.
ANCCAAAUGGGGGUACCCUGACCGCACCAACGCCGCGUGAGUGAAGAAGGUCUUUGGGUCGUAAAGCUCUGUCAACAGGGAAGAAGUUGAUAUGUAUUAAUAGUAUGUAUCAUUGACGGUACCUGUGAAGGAAGCACCGGCUAACUCCGUGCCAGCAGCCGCGGUAACACGGGGGGUGCAAGCGUUAUUCGGAAUUAUUGGGCGUAAAGGGCGCGUAGGCGGCCUUGUCAGUCAGAUGUGAAAGCCCGGGGCUCAACCCCGGAAGUGCAUUUGAAACAGCAAGGCUUGAGUACGGGAGAGGAAAGCGGAAUUCCUGGUGUAGAGGUGAAAUUCGUAGAUAUCAGGAGGAACACCGAUGGCGAAGGCAGCUUUCUGGACCGAUACUGACGCUGAGGCGCGAAGGCGUGGGUAGCGAACAGGAUUAGAUACCCUGGUAGUCCACGCAGUAAACGAUGUUCACUAGGUGCUGGGGAUAUUAAAAUUUUCAGUGCCGGAGCUAACGCAUUAAGGAACCGCCUNGGGAGACGUNG